Non-coding RNA from Cinara cedri, 3070 nucleotides. The record is from the annotation of a GenBank genome assembly. NCBI's taxonomy places the organism in Eukaryota, Metazoa, Arthropoda, Insecta, Hemiptera, Aphididae.
CGGAAUUUUAUUAACGUGCAAUUUAUUAUUACAGUUAUAAUAGUUUGUGUCAACAACAAUAAUAAUAAUAAUAAUACUAUAAAUUUAGUGCGUAAUUCGCGAGCAACUAAAAUAUAAUUUGUCCCUUUCAAAGAAGAUUUCAUACCUACGAGAUUAUUAUGUUUAAUGAAAUGAGAAUAAACAAUAAUAGUAAUAAUAAAUUUAUGUUGUGUCAUAUAAUAUAAUAUAUAUUUUAACGUAUAAAAUUGCAUGAUGUAUUCUUUUAAGAUGAAUAUAUUUAUACACACAAAAUGUAUUAUUUUAAAAAGACCGACGUUAAAUAUUUGAAUAUUAUUUUAACAAUGUAUCUUUCGAUUUUUUAUUUCGUGGAACUCGUCACGUGACACCAUGCAAAGCUCUAUUAUAUUUUGAAUAAAGAACACGACAAUUAUUAGGAAAAAUAAAGAGCAGUAAUAAUAGCGGAUAUAAAAUCUUCUAAUAGUAAUUAUAAUAAUAAUAGUUAAUAAUAUUAAAAUGUAUACAAAUAAUAUAAUAAUAAUAGGUGCCUACCUAGUAAAUAGUAUACUAGGCGAAUGGAUUAUUAGCUAAGUAAAAAUUGCCGACCUACACGUACACACAUAAUAAUUAUACAGUAAUCUCGACAUUAAUAUUAUAUUAAACUAAGCUGACUACGAUUUUAUUAUAAAUACACUAAAUACACUAUAAAUAUUGUAAUUAAUAGCAUAUUAUAAUAAUAAAUAUGCGUUUUGAUAUUAUAAAUAAAUAGGUAAAUAUAAGUAAUAUAUGUAUACAUAUAAUUCCGAUCUAUAAUAUCUUAUAAUAGGUUAUUAUAUUCUGAUCUUAUUUUUGUUGUAAAAACGAUGUAGAAACACGCACUGACAAUCGAAUAUAAUAUUCAAAUUACAAUUCACAAUAAAAAAAAAAAAAACAAAUACAAAUAUAAACGUAAAUAUAAUAUUAAAAAACUUAAAAUUUGUGAUGGAAGACGCACGUCGAUAUGCAUACGUUUACAAUAAUAAAUUUAUAUUAUUAUAAUAAUUGUUAUCAAUACAAUAUUAAAUAUGUAUUAUUAUGUAUUCAGUGAUUGCACAUCGAAUACAUUUAAAAAAUUAUAUAUUUACUAAAUAAUCGAAAACAGAUAGCGAUAAUAAUAAUUACAAUAGUUUUUUUUUUUUUUUAUAUGCCAGUGCACAGUAAAAUAUAAUUAUUCUAAUAUAGGUACGAUAACCAUUAAACGUAAAACCAUAUACUUAUUAUUUAUUUUAAAAAAGCAAAAUUCACGUAGAAAUGUAAUCUAUGUAAACAAGAGUCUAUACAGCACUUUUGUAAAACUGUUCGAAUAUUUAUAUAUUAUUAGUUAUUACGAGAUUGAUUAUAUAUUAAAAUAAAAUACAUUUAUCGCUCCGCUCAGAAUCUAAAAUCUACUCAACUUGUACCUUAUUAUAAUUUACAUCUAUCAACAAGCGACGGAAAAUUAAAAAACCAAAGAAAUAUUAUAGGAAAUUUUAAAUAACUCGUGUUGUUAUUUGAGUUAUGGUACACGUCAUAUUAAAAUAUUAUUAUAAAUGUAAACAUUUUUUAAUAAUAUAAUGUCACUUACGAAACUUAAAUCCGAUUUUAUACCAUCAAAUUAAUUUCACCACAUAAUAAAUAAAAAAACAUAUAUUUAUAUAUAUAUAUAUAUAUAUAUAUAUAUAUAAAUCAAAAUUUGAAUAGCUGUAAACGUAAAAUUAUUUACCUACCGAGGUAUUAUUAUAAAAACAAAUCUUUGGCUAACCUAUGUUAUUUUUCUAAACGCAAACCAAAUAAAUUAUCCUUCUCGUUUUGAAUAAUAAAAAACAAGAAUACUGGUUUUAAGAGUGGUCCAUCACACCAUAUCUAUUCCUCUGUUCUUUUUCAGAUUCUUUUUUUAACUUUUUUUUUUAACUUCUUUAGAAAUUCCCCCAAAUUCCGUCCACCAAAGGACGUCUCGCUAACCUUGAAUCCAUAUGUAUGGUUCAUCUACAAUUGUUUAACUCACGCGAUUAUGAAUUUUCCUUCUGUGAUUUUGGUAUACCUACUGUAAUCUAUUUUUUUUUUAUUAAGUAUAUUUGUAAUUUACAUGCAAAUUUGUUUCUAUGAGUGCACUUGAAUAAAUGAAAUAAUAAUCUCUCGUUUAUAGAUGAUAUACCUACCCAUGUAAACUAUGUUACAUACAUUCCGUAAUUUUUUUUGUAUGUUAUAUUUAUAAAAAAUGUAAAUACAAUACCGAUAUGGUUUUGUUUUACUGCCGAAAUGUCAUAUCGAUGUGCUGAUAUGUACAGUUAUUCCCUUACCCAGUACACUCUUUUAACUUGUUUUAGUAACGAAAUCCCAUGAUAGAAACUAUUAAAACACCAUUUUUAAUUUUUUUAAAAGCUAAUCAUCAAAUGAUAUGUUUACUGGAUUCAGAUGAUACUAUAAGUUGAAUAUUGACAUCUAAUAUUGACGUUAAACAAUGAUAAACGAUCCACAUUUAUAAAUAUAAUUCAUAAAUACUUAAGUAUUAAUAUUAGAUUAUAUUACCGGUGACGUAGCCAGAUUUUUUUAGUGGAGGUGAGGGAAGAUCAAAAAAUUAAAUUAACUUAAAGUUUAAUGCCUGUAAACGUUCAUUUCUUCAAUUAGGUACGUUCAAAAAUAUACUAUCUACUUGCUCAACCAAUGGAAAUAAACCACGUAUACCACGAAGAAACAUAAAAGAUUAUUAUUAUUAUUACGAUAACAAUAUUGCUUAUUUAUAAUUAUAAUAAACAUAAUUUAUUUAAAAAUUAUGUUUAAUAAAUUGAAGGGGUAUCCCAUAGCUAUGUCAAUGCUGUAUAUUUAAUACCUAAAUAAUUAUUACUGUAUGAUACACAUUAUAAUAUUACUUAUCAUUAAUAUCUACAUGUAUUAUAUUCUAUAAGAACAAAAUUGAUUCGAAUAGAGUCUAGAAUAAUAAAUUAUAUUCUAUCGACACUAUUUAUGAAAGAAAAUUAUUAUAUAGAACGCAUAGCUCUCCUAUACAACUAUAAUAAUAAUAAUAAUUAUAAUAAUAAUAAUAAUUAUAAUAAUA